GCCGGGAUCGCAUAGUGGAAUUGCGCCGCCCUGAAGAGGCGGUUGGUCCCCACGACCACCGCGGGUUCGAACCCCGCUCCCGGCG
This 85-nucleotide transfer RNA is filed under the name Microcaldota archaeon. RNAcentral's name for it is "tRNA-Phe". It matches the Rfam family "tRNA". From Rfam's summary of the family: Transfer RNA (tRNA) molecules are approximately 80 nucleotides in length. Lineage: Archaea; Nanobdellati; Microcaldota. The record is from RNAcentral.